RNAcentral lists this long non-coding RNA (3182 nucleotides) under Homo sapiens (human). Its description in RNAcentral is "HSALNT0190520". Lineage: Eukaryota; Metazoa; Chordata; Mammalia; Primates; Hominidae. The record is from RNAcentral.
GAAGUCAAGGGUGUGACUGAGAGCAGUCUGAGAGAGGGUGACCUAUUUUUGGAAAGAGCACAGUUUGUGUGUCAGACACACUGGCUUUGAAUUCUAUCUCUACCUCUUUUUAGCUGUGAGACUUUGCACCCAUUACUAUCCUACUCAGAACCUCAACUUACUGUUUGUGAGACAGAGGGGAUAGCAGGGGCCUCACGGGGUCUUAGGAGCUUUAAAUGAUGUACCACGUUAAGUUCUAGAAUGUUCCAGAGUUGGAGUUUACACAAAGUGGCAGCUAUUUCUAUUUUAGUAAGAACUAGGGCAAGGAGAGAAUACUGCUUCUGAAGAGGUGCUCAGAGGAAGGUGAGCAUUGAGGGAGACUGAGAAGGAAAAGUCAGAGAGAUAGGGGGAGAAAUAGGCAAGAGUGUGGGGUAAGGAAGUCAAAAUCCAAGAAGGCUUCAAGAAAACAAUUGGUCAGCAAUGUGAUGUGCCGUAGAGAAGUCAAGAAGAUGAGCACGGAAUCCAGCACAGGAGAUGUGGCCGUCAGGAAGUCUAGGGGCAAAGAGACCUCGCCUUGAAGUAAAUGAGAGAGACAGAGUCUCACUCCAUCAACUAAGCUGGAGUGCAGUGGCAUGAUUGCAGCCCUGAACUCCUGGCAUGAGCCACAGUGCUUGGCCAUAAAUGUAAUUUUAAUAGAAUGGAAUGCUCUUAUAUGGACCACCGAUUUGCAGGAUUAGCACUGACUCAUAAGACUCAAAGGAACUUUGGACUGCCAUCUAUUGAAUUUCAUCUAUAUUAAAAGAAAAUGAAACCUCCUGAGCUGUCCGGUAAUAGAAAGAAGCUGCAGAACCCUGUUGUCUUCAUCUUUUGUUUAACUCAUGCAACAUUUGAAAGCACGUUUGCCUACAAGAAAUAAAACUUAAGUUGUGAAAUGGCUUAUUAAUGAACUCAGAUGACAAGAAACCAAAACAGCGGGCCUGGCUGAAGGAUUCAUCCCUAGCCCUGAAAGCCAGCGGGGUCUUUCUGUAACAUCAAAGGCACAAACAAUUGAACCGACAUGGGGACUUAUUCUGUCCAGCAGCCCUGGUGGCCUCAGACCAUCCGAAGCAAGGGUAACCUACCAGAAAGCUGCUAGAUGUUCCCCACUACAGUGAAGGAUUAAACAAAGAAUGAAGAAGAAGUAGGACUCAAGAAGUAAAUGAUCCAACUCAAGAAAGAGAUGACCAAGUGGAAUACCUUUUAAAGGCUUCAAGACUUUUCUUUCCCACUCCUCCCUGCCCAUGCGAGGGAGGCUCCAUUUUAAAAUGUAACACACACACACAAAAAAACGGAUUUGAAAUAAGGCAUUAGCCUGAGGUAACUUACCCCCACCUUGGCUCCAGAGCAGCUUGGAUUUCCGAUUCUUUGAGCAGGUCAGUGAUUUGGGGAACCAGUAAAAGAGCCGGGCUAUUCUUCUGAAGGUCUCAUGAAAGUCACUUCUUAUGGCCAUAGCGAGAACCAGGAGUGUUCCAGAAUGACUCGCUACAGAGAGCAUGGAUGAGGAGCACAGUAACACCCACAUAUGACACUUUAGCUGUGAACUGCCUUUCAGCCAAUAUGUCUGGGGACCACCUGUUAGCCCUAAAUCCCCUUCCUCUGUCAUUCUUUUGGCUUGUCCUUUAGACCUUGGCCCUCAUAACUAGAAACUGUAUUAAUAGAUGUUCUUUCUAAAGAAAGAGUUUUAAGCUUUCUUAAGAGAAGCUCUAACCUAAUGCAACACUUGGUAAUUUUCAAGCAUGGACCUCCUGACCUCGUUCAUAAAAACACAAUUUUUUCAUAGAGGAGUGAAAAAAAACAGGAUCCACUAACUCAACUUCCAACAGAAUUGUCAGUGGUAAUUUGCAGGACUUAGUGGUGAUGGACAAGCAAUCUCCUAAAGCCAUAGCCUUGAUCCCAUUUGUUUUGUGCAUUUUUACUGGAAAAAUGAAACCUAUUUGAAACUUUAGCAGGAAUUUAUCCCAGAAAAAAAAAAAUUAGUUCUUAUGAGUCAAAAAAUGUGUAAAAGGGCCAGGCACAGGGGCUCACACCUGUAAUCCCAGCACUUUGGGAGGCUGAGGUGGGAGGAUUGCUUGAGCCCAGGAGUUCAAGACCAGCCGAGCCAACAAAGCGAAAUGCUGUCUCUAGAAAAAGGAAAAAAAAAGCUGGGCAUGGUGGCACGUACCUAUAGUCCCAGCUACUCAGGAGGCUGAGGUGGGAGGACUGCUAGAAUCCAGAAGAUGGAAGCUGCAGUGAGCUAUGAUAGCACUACUGCACUCCAGCCUGGGUGACAGAGCAAGACUCUUCAAAAAAAAAAAAAAGAUGCAAAAGACCAUUUUCCCCCAGGGUCCUAUUUUGAUCUUUAACCAUUUAUUGAACAAUUCUCUAGAACUUCUAACAUUGUAACAUUACUGAAUCCAUUUCAGCAUUUCAGCAGACAUCAAUGCCUAGUUGUCUACCACGCAGCUUGUACUGAGGUUCCCCAUCAUCACUCCUAAGACUAUGUCUAACAGUUGGUCCUUGUGCAUUCUGUUUAUGUCAAAAGAAAUAAACUUAUUCAUAUAUUCAUUUAGGAGCUAAGUCGAUUAAACAGCCUGAUGUAAUAUUUGGGCUUGCUUUUUAUAUGCCACAGCAAAUUUUUGGAGCUGAUUUACUCUCUAAAGAGAAACAACGGAUAUUAUUAUAUUGCCAGUUUUUAUUUCCAGAUCAGAUGUUUUUGUUUCCUAUUCCAUUUUCAGUAUUUCUUAGGAAUUUGGACUUUGAUUCUUCUUACAAGUGACAAGUGGGGAGCAAGUCUAACUAAAACAACAGUGUAAGAGUUUUUCAGGUCUUCUUAAAAGUGGGAUGUGGGGUGGAGAAUCCAGCUAAAAUAGUAAAGAUUUCUUUCAAUGUUUUUCCCUUCAACUAUGUGUGUCUGCCCCAGCACUUCUCAGUUUCAAAAAUUUGUUUGAGUAAUUAUAAAUUUUCUGCAGCACUUCCUCAAAGACAAAGCACAACAUAUAAAACACAUCGGAGUGAGGUGAAAUUAGAAACAAAAGACUAGCUCUUGGCCGGGUGCGGUGGCUCAUGCCUGUAAUCCCAGCACUUUGGGAGGCUGAGGCAGGCGGAUAACCUGAGGUCAGGAGUUUGAGACCAGCCUGACCAACAUGGUGAAACCCCGUCUCUAAUAAAAAUACAAAAAUUAGCCG